Molecule: long non-coding RNA, 289 nt
Organism: Mauremys mutica (yellowpond turtle)
Lineage: Eukaryota; Metazoa; Chordata; Testudines; Geoemydidae
Exons: 3
Source: RefSeq, a predicted model, not a curated record
UCUUGUAGGCUCCUAUGAAGAGGCUGCUUGUAGGUAGAGACACGGUGGCCAUCUGGGCAGAGGUGGCAACUGACCAGCAUGUCAGAAGAAGGAGGAGAGACCAUGGAACUCUGUGUUUACCAGUUGUGGAAGAAUGGGAUUGGCUAUAGGCAUUGUCUUUGGUGUGAGAUCUGGGAAAAGGGUGUGUGUGUGAAGGGGAGAGAGUGCAUAACAGAACUAGAGAGGGACAAACAGCUGGAAGAAAUCCAAGUGGAAACCUGGAGUAGCUCUGGAAGAAGCUAGAGACCAC